CAUCCUUUCCAGAUUAAAAAAGAGCUUCAUGUUUUCUUGGCAAAUUUCAAGAAAAAAAUCCCUGAUUUCCAUGUUACUGGAUCUUACACUUCUUUGUCCUUCAAAGUUUUCAAAGGCCACCGGCUUCUUGCAGAGGUAAAGCAUAACUUCACAUUGGAAAGCUUCUGCAAGGGAAAGGAAAAAUACAGAGUUAAAGUAUAUCCAGAGGUGGAUUUUGCAUUUAUUGUGGCAUUGUUAGUAAUUCUUGAUGAGAAUGACACCCCUUAAUUGUCUCUUCAUCAAAGGG
RNAcentral lists this unclassified non-coding RNA (286 nucleotides) under Hevea brasiliensis (rubber tree). The record is from RNAcentral. Lineage: Eukaryota; Viridiplantae; Streptophyta; Magnoliopsida; Malpighiales; Euphorbiaceae.